AGAGUUUGAUCCUGGCUCAGGACGAACGCUGGCGGCGUGCCUAAUACAUGCAAGUCGAACGCUUCUUUUUCCACCGGAGCUUGCUCCACCGGAAAAAGAGGAGUGGCGAACGGGUGAGUAACACGUGGGUAACCUGCCCAUCAGAAGGGGAUAACACUUGGAAACAGGUGCUAAUACCGUAUAACAAUCGAAACCGCAUGGUUUUGAUUUGAAAGGCGCUUUCGGGUGUCGCUGAUGGAUGGACCCGCGGUGCAUUAGCUAGUUGGUGAGGUAACGGCUCACCAAGGCCACGAUGCAUAGCCGACCUGAGAGGGUGAUCGGCCACAUUGGGACUGAGACACGGCCCAAACUCCUACGGGAGGCAGCAGUAGGGAAUCUUCGGCAAUGGACGAAAGUCUGACCGAGCAACGCCGCGUGAGUGAAGAAGGUUUUCGGAUCGUAAAACUCUGUUGUUAGAGAAGAACAAGGAUGAGAGUAACUGUUCAUCCCUUGACGGUAUCUAACCAGAAAGCCACGGCUAACUACGUGCCAGCAGCCGCGGUAAUACGUAGGUGGCAAGCGUUGUCCGGAUUUAUUGGGCGUAAAGCGAGCGCAGGCGGUUUCUUAAGUCUGAUGUGAAAGCCCCCGGCUCAACCGGGGAGGGUCAUUGGAAACUGGGAGACUUGAGUGCAGAAGAGGAGAGUGGAAUUCCAUGUGUAGCGGUGAAAUGCGUAGAUAUAUGGAGGAACACCAGUGGCGAAGGCGGCUCUCUGGUCUGUAACUGACGCUGAGGCUCGAAAGCGUGGGGAGCAAACAGGAUUAGAUACCCUGGUAGUCCACGCCGUAAACGAUGAGUGCUAAGUGUUGGAGGGUUUCCGCCCUUCAGUGCUGCAGCUAACGCAUUAAGCACUCCGCCUGGGGAGUACGACCGCAAGGUUGAAACUCAAAGGAAUUGACGGGGGCCCGCACAAGCGGUGGAGCAUGUGGUUUAAUUCGAAGCAACGCGAAGAACCUUACCAGGUCUUGACAUCCUUUGACCACUCUAGAGAUAGAGCUUCCCCUUCGGGGGCAAAGUGACAGGUGGUGC
RNAcentral lists this ribosomal RNA (1066 nucleotides) under Enterococcus faecium. RNAcentral describes it as "bacterial SSU rRNA". It matches the Rfam family "Bacterial small subunit ribosomal RNA", at positions 8 to 1044 of the family's 1533-position model. Lineage: Bacteria; Bacillati; Bacillota; Bacilli; Lactobacillales; Enterococcaceae. The record is from RNAcentral.